CUUAUAACUAAAACUUUUGUGCAAUGCUUGCGGUUUUCUUUCCAGUAACAACCCAAUAACUUAUUGUGUUGUUAAGCUUAACAAUUACAAUACUAUAUUGUUGAUAACGUGCGGAACGGGUGCUGGGAAACACCGGCGACUUUUGCACGAAAAUCAGUACAUUUGGAUCCAGUACUCCGCUCGACAUUUAUAAAUAGACAUUACUGCCGUCAAACAUGAAUUAUGCCGUUGUUUAAGCUUAUUACGACUUUAGUUCUUCAAAGAACACUUGCCAUGGUUUUGAAUUGUUGUAAGAUACUGGUAGUGAUUUAUUUUAACUUGUUUAAUUACGGUAAAUCAUGGAUUGUUGUGUUAUUUUAAAUUUUAUAGGCAACGGCUU
Molecule: non-coding RNA, 379 nt
Organism: Paramuricea clavata
Lineage: Eukaryota; Metazoa; Cnidaria; Anthozoa; Malacalcyonacea; Plexauridae
Source: the annotation of a GenBank genome assembly